UACGUAGGGUGCGAGCGUUGUCGGAAUUAUUGGGCGUAAAGAGCUCGUAGGCGGUCUGUCGCGUCGGCUGUGAAAUCCCGAGGCUCAACCUCGGGUCUGCAGGUCGAUACGGGCAAACUAGAGUAUUGCAGGGGAGACUGGAAUUCCUGGUGUAGCGGUGAAAUGCGCAGAUAUCAGGAGGAACACCAAUGGCGAAGGCAGAUCUCUGGGCCGUAACUGACGCUGAGGAGCGAAAGCAUGGGGAGCGAACAGG
Molecule: ribosomal RNA, 253 nt
Filed under: uncultured bacterium
Lineage: Bacteria
Description: partial 16S ribosomal RNA
Rfam family: Bacterial small subunit ribosomal RNA
Source: RNAcentral